Harmonia axyridis is the source of this 478-nucleotide long non-coding RNA. RefSeq lists it as uncharacterized. The record is from RefSeq and is a predicted model, not a curated record. Lineage: Eukaryota; Metazoa; Arthropoda; Insecta; Coleoptera; Coccinellidae. The transcript has 3 exons.
UAAUAGUUUCUCUGAUGGCAUCUACAGAAUUUCUUAUAUCUUGAAAACCCUUAGUAAUCCCUAUUUCUAUGCCUUUGGAAAACCGUCAAUGAUACACUCCUGUUAUGACUUGUUUGACCAAUUAGGGAUUUCAUAUAGAUAGUAAAUUGUAUUGUACGUGUGUAUUUGAUUUUGUACGGUGACCACAUGUGCAGAAUAUUAUGGAAGAAAUUGAUCACUUUCGUUGCGUUUCCCAGGUAUGGCAUGAAAUACAAAUGUGGAGAGAAAUUACUUCAGCAACAGACCAGAAACACUAUAUCAAUCUAUCAGAGAGAUUGUUCAGUGGAGAAAUGGAGAAAUUUCUAAGAACAACAUGCAGAAGCUUCCUGUUCCUAUAACCGAACCUUGAAGAACUCCAAUCCCAAUCGGCCAGAUCAGAAUAAAAUGCUGGGUGAAUUUGAGGAAUUGAAAUUGACCGUUUGCAGCAGUGACAUUGAAA